GCCCAACUCAACGACCGAGUUAAAAGUUA
Molecule: non-coding RNA, 29 nt
Filed under: Mus musculus (house mouse)
Lineage: Eukaryota; Metazoa; Chordata; Mammalia; Rodentia; Muridae
Source: RNAcentral